CUACCUGGAGAUCUCUCCUUUUGGAGUGUUUGGUGAGCCCUGGUCAUUGGGAUGGGUGACCACAAGUCUUCUGCAAGUGCUGUAAAGCAGUUUGCUGCCCUUGCAUCACCAGCUGUGCAGACACAGUGCCUGUGCUGGAUGGAUGGUGAGCAGUGGUUCCUAGAAGGGAGACUGAGCACGCAGCCUCUGCUAUGUGCCAUGCAGGCAUUUCACCUCUUUUGCCUUAAUUUGAUGUGUGCAAAGGCUGAUGGAGUCUGGCCUGUAGGUGUAGGUGGGAGGAUUGUUACAAGAAGAUGUGCUGGGCUCUGCCUUAGGAGCUGGAAUGUGCUGGAGCUCUUCUCCUGACUUGGAGCUGCCUUGCAAUGUGCCGCUGCUCUGACUUUCUCAAUGGAACCUCAUGGGUGGUGAAAUGACUUGAGAAAAUCUGAUCCAAAACUACUUAAAGAUAAAAAGUCAUCUGGGAACAUUGGUCAGAUGCUGAUAGUGAUUAACUUCUAGGUUUUUAAUCAGAAAAUUAUAGCGAUGUAACUUUAACUUUUCAUAAACUACACUCUACAUGCAAAUUCACAAGCCAGUUCACAUAAGCUCAGAUAAGAUCUCUGUAUUUCGCAAAAUAAUAUGGGCAACAAUUAAAAUUAAUAGUGGAAGUACUAGAAUUGCUUUGUUUCCUCUCUUCUGAGCAAUAAGAACGCUUCUGUUCUCUGCAUGCACAGAGGAGAACACAUGUAAAUUCAAACACUUCUGCUGUUAUUGAUGAUUUCAUCCCACAGCUCUGUGAUCUUCUGUCUUGUCGCCAUCUGCACGAAGGUUUCUUUGCAGCUGCCUGAUUUCCCUCAUCCCUGUGGGCUGUGCUGAGGGUGGUUGGAUCCCCCUGCCUGGGGUCCCCAAAGUAUGGGAUGUGAGCAGGUGGCCCUG
Molecule: long non-coding RNA, 915 nt
Organism: Phasianus colchicus (ring-necked pheasant)
Lineage: Eukaryota; Metazoa; Chordata; Aves; Galliformes; Phasianidae
Source: RefSeq, a predicted model, not a curated record